CGAGCAUGAUAUUCCAUCACCAAGUAAGCCAUCAAUCACAUCUUCUGUUUGGGCAAGGCACAUCAUAGAGUUUAACAUAUCGGACAGACUAGACACGGAAGAAAACUCAACACAAACACAUUUAUAAAAGUUUAUGUAAUAAACAGUUUCAUGCAAGUGUAAAUAUAGCUAAACACGAUAUCAUUUUAUCAAAACCACAACAAAAUAGACAUCGUUCUAACUUUGUACUCAGAAUUAAAUCCCUAAAUCAUCUGUAAUAUGUGGCGAAUGAUUCAGUGCUAAUCCAACAAGCAGACAGUGUUUCAACAUUGCUUUGACUUGGAUGAACAAAGCUACUUAACCAAGAACACAAGCACAUAAACCCCGCUCAACAGGACUAGUCAAUGACAGCAAUCAUAUAUGAAUCAAUAAGAAGAAAGGCAUUUCUCAUCCAACCACGCCAUCAUGCCUUGAUGGGCUCAUACCUUUCACCAAUUGCUCCACCUUUCUGUUUCUGGAACUGAAUGUACCGCAGUGUGCUGGCAAAGAAAGCAUCAGCACCAGGGUCUGGUGUAACAGAUUCACUUUGCAUCUCAGUCUUAAUCAAUUCAAUCAGGCUCUGGAUUACAGCAGCAGUUAUCUGCGGGUUUUCCUUCUCAAAGAAAUAAAGAUACUUGUUCAGAAUCUCAACAAAGAGCAUGGCCGAUCCAGUGCUACCUCGUGCCGCAUUGGACAUUUGUUGAGCAGCAUUUGCAAUUCUUAGAGCACGCUUUAGGCAAAUUAGAACCCUCUCUCCAUCUUUCAUGUUAUCUUGAUCAUCAACCCAAAAGAGAUGUGCACACCCAUAAACAGCUCUGCAUUGAUCAGGCUUCUUUAAAAGCUUAGCAGAAUACCCUGUGGCUUUGUGUGUCAACGUAUCUCUAUUCUCAACACCAAAGACAACCAUCCUCUGUAGAGUCCCUAUCAUUAAAUGUAGUGCAGUCACCUGUGCUUUGGAAUCUGAGACUUCUUCUUCAUACAGAAUAUAUGCUUGGGUGAAAAAUUCAUAUGCAACAGGUUCUAAAUCAGAGUCAUUAGCAGCCUGAUCAAUAAGCAACCCAAAAAAAAUAAUAAUAAAUAAAGAUACGAGAAGAAGGAUUGCCAAAUGGACCCUCAAGUAUUGAUAUGCUCAGUUUAUACCUCCGCACACUGUAAGUACAGCUGCAGUGCUAAUUCAGGUGCUGGAACAGUUGACAGUACCUCAAUCGUCUGAAACAGAAAGUUUUGAAUCACCAAAUAUACCAAGGACUAUUACCAUGCCUAUAUGCAAGACAGGCAGACAACGUAAAAUAAAAUGCACCUGAUUCAAAAGCUGAAAAAUUUUCUUUGGCGUAGUCAAUGACUCAUCUCCAAAAGGAUUUUCAUCUUGGCCUUCAUCUUGGCCUUGCAGUCGCCUAACCAACUGCUCACACAAACAACAUACUGACGAUAUGUUGUAAACCAGAAAUUGCACUGCUAAAAGAUGAAACAGCAUGCCACUAUAGCCUUCAGUCAAUAAAGCUUUAAUAAGGAUUAUCACAAACAGAGUUAUCGAUGCGGACAGAAAAGAUUGAGGAACUUGUUUUUCCUUGGGAGGGGAUUGGAGAUAACCUUAAUUGGCAGAUGUCAAAGGAAAUAUUUUUCAGUUAUUUUAUCAUGAAAAACAGCACGAUUCACAACAAGUAAUUGGCUAUUAUGCAUGCUGCCAAUGCAGAAGAUGAAGUGGUUGUCCCUAUUCUAGGACUUGCAACUGGAAUUUUAUCAUUUAAAACACAUUGGCAUUAGGCAGAGAAGCAAACCUUAAGAGAAGAAAAGACAAGAGGAGGAAUAGUGAAGGGUAAACGCUUUGGUCCCCCAGUCAUGAACUGCCUCCUUACUGUACAUAUGAUCUUGUACAUUUCCACUGGAUCAUCAUUAUGCAGCAUCUGAAUAAGACGUGCAACAGAAUUCUGCUCCUCAUUGAAAUCAUCUUCAUCAACCUAAAGGUGGAGAAACAAAAUACUUUACAUUGAAAAACACUAAUAGGUGUGAUGGCUGAGUUUCAAUAAGCAUACCAGAAGAAAGAAGAAAAAUAGUCAUUAAAUGCAACCAGCAUCAACAAACCACAGCAUGCAUUGAUGGAAAAUUCAAACAGGCUAUAAAGAUCCAUUUCUCAUGAUCAUGCAACAUAUUAUGUAACAGCAAAUAACCUCUUCAUGAUUUCCAUCCAAAUCCUUGAUAAGCCCUGUUAUUAAUUCAAAUAAUGCCUCAACCUUGUCGGCAGUAGAAAUUCGUGUGUUGUUUUUCAUAAUACUUUGAAUUAUGACAGUUGCCAUGAUUUUAUUCGUUUCAUUGUCAAGGUAUUCCAUGACAUGGUGGUAGUUUGAAAGCUUCAAUGCAGUGACAACAUCAUUAUAUUUCUCCAAUGGAGCACUUAAAAGUGCUACAAUUUGUUUCGUGGCUCUGCUGUCUUCAAGCUUUCCUUUGCUUGAUAAUUUCUUAACACAUGCUCCCAACACUUGAUCUGCAUAAUCCAGCCGAUCAGGGUGAACAUGGAGAGUAAAUGUAAGGAGAGAUGAAUAUAAGGUCACGGCUCCGAAGAUAGGCAUAUCAACCUGUGCUUCUAUGACCUGCAUUAAUGUGUAUUAUAUUUGCAGUUUUGAAUAAAUACACAUAAUUUAAUAAUAAAAAAGCAUUAUUAAUGAUAUGGCCCUUUACCACAAAAAUUGAAAACAAACAUAGGUCCUAAAUAAUGCAAGAAUUUCAAUAUUUAUCAUUAUUUAUUUAAUCUUACUGUCCCUAUGGCAUUGUUCAAUUUUGAAAAAGCUUCAACUUGCAAGAACUCAGGUAAAACUUCUGCACUUGAAGCUGCAUAAUUUGAGAGCCUCUCCAUCAACCUAGAGAGCACUGUCUUGACGUCAACAGAUGGCUGAAGCUGAGGGCAAGCACCCAACAAGACUUCAAGAGUUUGCAAGUGAUACUCAUCUGGAAAGACCUGAAUAACGCAAUCCAUCAAAUAAAACUGUGCAAGUUCAUCUUUACAAUUGACAACCUGUUCAAGGACUCUGGGAAGUACAGUAUCCUUGUACAUUUCAAGGUCAACACCUUCUAUCUGACUAAGGACAUGCAAAUUCUUCCCAACAAGAUCACGUAAUUCGCUCCUUUCUUUCUCCCGCUUCUCCUUUUCCCGGGCAGGUCCCUGAUGUUGCAUCCGCACCCACAGCUUGUUCAUCUCAGUGAAAUUUUGCAGUACAAACUCCACAGCAUCCAUGACUGUUUCAGCAUCCCCUUCAUACUCAGAGCCAAUGUCAGGUAAUUUAUCCCUACUGACUUGAGAAAGAUAACUCCUUAAGAAGAGCCCACGAACAGGAUGUUGAAUGCCACGACACAUUUCCACAAGAUCCUUUAGAACAUCCUUUGCAGGAGCUUCUUUAGAUUUUAUGUAUACAGACCCUACAGUACAGAGGAGAUACAAUCUUGGCAAUAUGUUACCAGCAUGCUGCACAAGUUCAUACAAAUCAAUAAUCGAGCACCCACGUCGCGUCUCUUCCUUGAAAAACAUCUCCAGCUUCCUCAAUUCAUCAAAUGCUCGCAUGUAGAGUUCAUAGUACUUGUGAGGGGAGAGCUUCGAAGUCCGCAGUUCUGAGAGCAUCUGUGCUGAAUACUUCAAAGCGUCUCUGAGAUUGUUCGAGUCCAGAGCGCGAUGCAUGUAGAAGGCGUUCUGUUGAAGUCCGGCAAUUGCUGCCGCCAGCCAUUUCUCUUCGUCUUCCACUCCAUUUGCGAUCAUUCUCUCUCUCUCUCUCUCU
This 3782-nucleotide unclassified non-coding RNA is filed under the name Hevea brasiliensis (rubber tree). Lineage: Eukaryota; Viridiplantae; Streptophyta; Magnoliopsida; Malpighiales; Euphorbiaceae. The record is from RNAcentral.